GACGAACGCUGGCGGCGUGCUUAACACAUGCAAGUCGAACGGAAAGGCCCUGCUUUUGUGGGGUGCUCGAGUGGCGAACGGGCGAGUAACACGUGAGUAACCUGCCCUUGACUUUGGGAUAACUUCAGGAAACUGGGGCUAAUACCGGAUAGGAGCUCCUGCUGCAUGGUGGGGGUUGGAAAGUUUCGGCGGUUGGGGAUGGACUCGCGGCUUAUCAGCUUGUUGGUGGGGUAGUGGCUUACCAAGGCUUUGACGGGUAGCCGGCCUGAGAGGGUGACCGGCCACAUUGGGACUGAGAUACGGCCCAGACUCCUACGGGAUGCAGCAGUGGGGAAUAUUGCACAAUGGGCGGAAGCCUGAUGCAGCAACGCCGCGUGCGGGAUGACGGCCUUCGGGUUGUAAACCGCUUUCGCCUGUGACGAAGCGUGAGUGACGGUAAUGGGUAAAGAAGCACCGGCUAACUACGUG
RNAcentral lists this ribosomal RNA (468 nucleotides) under uncultured bacterium. RNAcentral describes it as "partial 16S ribosomal RNA". It matches the Rfam family "Bacterial small subunit ribosomal RNA", at positions 28 to 507 of the family's 1533-position model. The record is from RNAcentral.